UGAGGAAUAUUGGUCAAUGGACGAAAGUCUGAACCAGCCAUGCCGCGUGCAGGAUGACGGCCCUACGGGUUGUAAACUGCUUUUAUAAGGGAAUAAACCCCCCGGCGUGUCGGGGGCUGAAGGUACCUUACGAAUAAGGAUCGGCUAACUCCGUGCCAGCAGCCGCGGUAAUACGGAGGAUCCAAGCGUUAUCCGGAUUCAUUGGGUUUAAAGGGUCCGCAGGCGGGUUAUUAAGUCAGUGGUGAAAUCCUGCAGCUUAACUGUAGAACUGCCAUUGAUACUGGUAAUCUUGAGUGUGGUUGAAGUGGGCGGAAUGUGUCAUGUAGCGGUGAAAUGCAUAGAUAUGACACAGAACACCGAUUGCGAAGGCAACUCACUAAGCCAUUACUGACGCUCAGGGACGAAAGCGUGGGGAGCGAACAGGAUUAGAUACCCUGGUAGUCCACGCCGUAAACGAUGAUCACUCGCUGUUGGCGAUACACAGUCAGCGGCCAAGCGAACGCAUUAAGUGAUCCAACUGGGGAGUACGCUCGCAAGAGUG
This 541-nucleotide ribosomal RNA is filed under the name uncultured bacterium. RNAcentral describes it as "bacterial SSU rRNA". It matches the Rfam family "Bacterial small subunit ribosomal RNA", at positions 355 to 896 of the family's 1533-position model. The record is from RNAcentral.